AUGCAUUAUAAUGUAAUGUCUCCCUAAGUGCAAUGCCAUGCGCCGUUACUAUACAUUUUUCAAGGGCUUCUAGCAUAGUAGAAUCACUAUUGAAUAAUUUGAUUUCUGUGCGUUUAAGUGGUCUCCACCUCCAAGAAACCACGCGCCUCAAAGUUUCAUUCCACGUUACUCGUAAGUAUAUAGACAUUUUACAUUCCUAUAAUACCCCCUGAAAAUGAAAAUCCAUGCACAUAACUUAAAUUAAAAAUAUUAAAAUAUUGAUAAAUAUUAAUCAACAGAAUUACCCAACAAUUUUUAUCACAACAAAUUUCAAUAAUUCUUGUCAGUGAAGUGACAUACCUAGGUACCAGCCUAAUUACAAUAUUGUUGCCUGUUGGACAGUAACGCUUACUAUGGUGGAGGUAAGCCCCCAAAGUUAUUUUAACAUUAAUUUUCUAGGACUCUAGCCCCUAUAACAGGGGUCGGGAACCUUUUCGUAGGAAAGAGUCAUUCUUUCAAAAAAAUACAAAACUAUGAUAUCCAGGGAGCCGCACAGACAGGUUUGAACAACCUUUUUUUUUUUAGUAGGCAA
Long non-coding RNA from Myzus persicae (green peach aphid), 571 nucleotides. RefSeq lists it as uncharacterized. The transcript is spliced from 3 exons. Lineage: Eukaryota; Metazoa; Arthropoda; Insecta; Hemiptera; Aphididae. The record is from RefSeq and is a predicted model, not a curated record.